This is a ribosomal RNA of Pteropus vampyrus (large flying fox), 120 nucleotides long. The record is from Ensembl. NCBI's taxonomy places the organism in Eukaryota, Metazoa, Chordata, Mammalia, Chiroptera, Pteropodidae.
CGCAUGGGUGAUAGCCAAGCAGUAAUUUUCCAGCCAGCACAAUUUCAGCAACUAAGCAGGGUUGGGCCUGGUUAGUACUUGGAUGGGAGACCACCUAGGAAGACCAGGUGAUGUAUGCGC